RNAcentral lists this ribosomal RNA (428 nucleotides) under uncultured prokaryote. Its description in RNAcentral is "bacterial SSU rRNA". It matches the Rfam family "Bacterial small subunit ribosomal RNA", at positions 355 to 774 of the family's 1533-position model. The record is from RNAcentral.
UGAGGAAUUUUGCGCAAUGGGAGCAAUCCUGACGCAGCAACGCCGCGUGGGUGAUGAAGGCCUUCGGGUCGUAAAGCCCUGUCAGGUGGGAAGAAUGUCAUGGAAUUGAACAGGUUUCGGGAGUGACGGUACCACCAGAGGAAGCACCGGCUAACUCCGUGCCAGCAGCCGCGGUAAUACGGGGGGUGCAAGCGUUAUUCGGAAUUACUGGGCGUAAAGCGCGUGUAGGCGGUCCUGCAAGUCUGAGGUGAAAGCCCCGGGCUUAACCCGGGAAGUGCAUUGGAAACUGCAGGUCUUGAGUACUGGAGAGGAUGGGGGAAUUCCCGGUGUAGAGGUGAAAUGCGUAGAGAUCGGGAGGAACAUCAGUGGCGAAGGCGCCCAUCUGGACGGUAACUGACGCUGAGACGCGAAAGCGUGGGGAGCAAACA